GUCCGUAAAGGYGGAWGAGUGGUGUUUGGUUUGUCACGUGUGGUUGGCUGCGGCGUUUGCAACAACUUCCAUGCUUUCAGACCUCUUCAGUUGUGCGGCAAGGCUUGUAUCGCCUUGYUGUAUUGUGGGUUUUCUGUGUUGAAUACCUAAUCAAUGGUAUCGGUUGGAUUGAUCAAUGUUUCAUUUCGUCUGUCGUCGCAUUCGCGGCGUGAGACGAACCUCGAUGCGGUCUCUUUGGCCCACCUCGUCGAAGCACAUGCUUUGACGUUGUGGCACAUUGAGCAUUGCUUGGUCUCUUGUAUACGGAACAUAUAGUGGGCAUGGAUCUAACGAUUCUUGUUUGCCCUCAUGUUAGCGUAACGCUUCUCUUACACGACUUGCUCCACGUUUUAGCUCGUACGGACGUGGU
This 409-nucleotide unclassified non-coding RNA is filed under the name Artemisia vulgaris (common mugwort). RNAcentral describes it as "partial external transcribed spacer". The record is from RNAcentral. Lineage: Eukaryota; Viridiplantae; Streptophyta; Magnoliopsida; Asterales; Asteraceae.